Molecule: ribosomal RNA, 251 nt
Filed under: uncultured archaeon
Lineage: Archaea
Description: partial 16S ribosomal RNA
Rfam family: Archaeal small subunit ribosomal RNA
Source: RNAcentral
CAGCCGUAAACAAUGUGCGUUAGGUGUGUCGGUAACCACGCGUUACUGAUGCGCCGAGGAGAAAUCGUGAAACGCACCACCUGGGAAGUACGGUCGCAAGGCUGAAACUUAAAGGAAUUGGCGGGGGAGCACCACAACAGGUGGAGCCUGCGGUUUAAUUGGAUUCAACGCCGGACAUCUCACCGGAUAAGACAGCUGAAUGAUUGUCAAUCUGAAGGUUUUACAUGACUAGCUGAGAGGUGGUGCACGGC